This 541-nucleotide long non-coding RNA is filed under the name Numida meleagris (helmeted guineafowl). RNAcentral describes it as "lncRNA (ENSNMEG00000005269.1)". Lineage: Eukaryota; Metazoa; Chordata; Aves; Galliformes; Numididae. The record is from RNAcentral.
UGGGUUUUGUGGUCUCCUAACUUGCGAUGAUAAACAGCUGAGGCAUCUGUUGACAUCAGCAGGAUCUGGAAGGAUUUGUUAUCUGUUAAGUUUCCUGCAGAUUCACUGAGGCUAAAAAGAAAUACAUGCAUCUGAAUGAGUAGAGACUUAUCAAAGAAUAAAUAUGUUUGGGAAGAAAUCAAAAUAUCUUCACACAACUGCUACAGGUCCUUGUUGUCUGGAGACAGGAGUGGUACCCUCAGGCUGAAAGACUGCCUGGACUUCAACUUGAGUAUAAGAGAGAAGUGUGCCAACCCUGUAGAUUCACAGGCUCAGCUGGAUUUCUUUACACGUACUAUGAAAAGAAACAUCGUUUUUUAGAAAUCAUGAAUUUUCUCUGAAAUAGACUCAAAGACUCAUAGAAUCAUCCAGAUUGGAGAAGACCUCUAAGAUCAUCUAGACCAACCAUCAACCUAUCCCCACCAUGCCCAAUCCCAGCAAGGUCUCAGGGAGGAAGUCUCUGUAAAUCUUUUUAAUAAACCAUUUUUCCCUAGUUUGGCCA